Molecule: ribosomal RNA, 440 nt
Filed under: uncultured bacterium
Lineage: Bacteria
Description: bacterial SSU rRNA
Rfam family: Bacterial small subunit ribosomal RNA
Source: RNAcentral
CCUACGGGAGGCAGCAGUGAGGAAUAUUGGGCAAUGGACGCAAGUCUGACCCAGCGAUGCCGCGUGAAGGAUGAAGGCCUUAGGGUUGUAAACUUCUGUCAGCAGGGAAGAUAAUGACGGUACCUGCAGAGGAAGCCCCGGCUAACUCCGUGCCAGCAGCCGCGGUAAUACGGAGGGGGCAAACGUUACUCGGAUUUACUGGGCGUAAAGGGUCCGUAGGCGGUUCUUUAAGUUAGAUGUGAAAGCUUGAAGCUUAACUUCAAAAUUGCAUCUAAAACUGGAGAACUAGGUUCUUGGAGAGGUUGAUGGAAUUACCGGUGUAGCGGUGAAAUGCGUAGAUAUCGGUAGGAACACCAGUGGCGAAAGCGAUCAACUGGCCAAGUAACGACGCUGAGGGACGAAAGCGUGGGUAGCAAACAGGAUUAGAUACCCUAGUAGUC